GGGACUGUGGGAUUCUUUCAUCAGUUUGUCUCGUUAGACAGGUCAGAGUGUGUUUGGGGACUGUGGGAUUCUUUCAUCAGUUUGUCUCGUUAGACAGGUCAGAGUGUGUUUGGGGACUGUGGGAUUCUUUCAUCAGUUUGUCUCGUUAGACAGGUCAGAGUGUGUUUGGGGACUGUGGGAUUCUUUCAUCAGUUUGUCUCGUUAGACAGGUCAGAGUGUGUUUGGGGACUGUGGGAUUCUUUCAUCAGUUUGUCUCGUUAGACAGGUCAGAGUGUGUUUGGGGACUGUGGGAUUCUUUCAUCAGUUUGUCUCGUUAGACAGGUCAGAGUGUGUUUGGGGACUGUGGGAUUCUUUCAUCAGUUUGUCUCGUUAGACAGGUCAGAGUGUGUUUGGGGACUGUGGGAUUCUUUCAUCAGUUUGUCUCGUUAGACAGGUCAGAGUGUGUUUGGGGACUGUGGGAUUCUUUCAUCAGUUUGUCUCGUUAGACAGGUCAGAGUGUGUUUGGGGACUGUGGGAUUCUUUCAUCAGUUUGUCUCGUUAGACAGGUCAGAGUGUGUUUGGGGACUGUGGGAUUCUUUCAUCAGUUUGUCUCGUUAGACAGGUCAGAGUGUGUUUGAAGUUGUUGAGGUAUGGAGUUUUCUUGGCAAUACACUGUAGACUUGUGUUUCAAAGUAGAGAGACCCACAGUAGCUACUGUUAUUUAGUACUGGCAGUGUCUGCUGUGGCAGGUACAAGUUACCUGAAAAAUAUCUAAUCUCUCAAUGUUCUAAUCUCAAAGUGCACCAAAUCCAUGCAUUUACAGUUUACAUUUACAUUUAAGUCAUUUAGCAGACGCUCUUAUCCAGAGCGACUUACAAAUUGGUGCAUUCAUCUUAUGACAUCCAGUGGAACAGCCACUUUACA
Oncorhynchus keta (chum salmon) is the source of this 903-nucleotide long non-coding RNA. RefSeq lists it as uncharacterized. The transcript is spliced from 3 exons. Lineage: Eukaryota; Metazoa; Chordata; Actinopteri; Salmoniformes; Salmonidae. The record is from RefSeq and is a predicted model, not a curated record.